GCCCUACGGGGUGCAGCAGGCGCGAAAACUUUACAAUGCUGGCAACAGCGAUAAGGGAACCUCGAGUGCCAGGUUACAAAUCUGGCUGUCGAGAUGCCUAAAAAGCAUUUCAUAGCAAGGGCCGGGCAAGACCGGUGCCAGCCGCCGCGGUAACACCGGCGGCUCGAGUGGUAACCGUUAUUAUUGGGUCUAAAGGGUCUGUAGCCGGCCGUAUAAGUCUCUUGAGAAAUCUGGCAGCUUAACUGUCAGGCUUUCAGGAGAUACUGUCUGGCUCGAGGCCGGGAGAGGUGAGAGGUACUUCAGGGGUAGGGGUGAAAUCUUGUAAUCCUUGAAGGACCACCAGUGGCGAAGGCGUCUCACCAGAACGGACCUGACGGCAAGGGACGAAAGCUAGGGGCACGAACCGGAUUAGAUACCCGGGUAGUCCUAGCCGUAAACGAUACUCGCUAGGUGUCGGCCACGGCGCGACCGUUGUCGGUGCCGUAGGGAAGCCGUGAAGCGAGCCACCAGGGAAGUACCGGUCCAAGGGUGAAACUUAAUUCAAACAGGAAACAGCUAUGACCAUGAGUAGACCAAGCUUGGUAACGAAUUCGGAUCCACUAGUAAC
This 607-nucleotide ribosomal RNA is filed under the name uncultured archaeon. RNAcentral describes it as "bacterial SSU rRNA". It matches the Rfam family "Archaeal small subunit ribosomal RNA", at positions 320 to 1478 of the family's 1478-position model. The record is from RNAcentral.